AGGGGAGGGGACAGAGAGGUGUCCUGGGCACAGACGCCGCCCAUGAGCCUGAGAAGUGCUCCUGCCCCGGGAAGAGGCUCAGCACAGAAGGAGGAAGGACAGCACAGCUGACAGCCGUGCUCAGAAAGUUUCUGGAUCCCAGGCUCAUCUCCACAGAGGAGAACAUGCAGGCAGCACAGGCCAUGGGGCCCCUCUCAGCGCCUCCCUGCACACUGCACAUCACCUGGAAGGAUCUCCUGCUCACAGCAUCAUUUUUAAUCUUGUGGAACACGCCCACCACUGCCCAAGUCAUGAUUGAAGCUCAGCCUACCAAAGUUUCUGAGGGGAAGGAUGUUCUUCUACUUGUGCGCAAUUUGCCCCAGAAAGUUGCUGCCUACGUCUGGUACAAAGGGCAAAUAAUGGACUUCCACCAAUUCAUUACAGCAUAUACAAUAGACACUGAAAGAUUUAUAUUUGGGCCUGCAUGCAGUGGACGAGAAACACUAUAUUCCAAUGGAUCCCUGCUGAUCCGGAAUGUCACCAAGCAGGACACAGGAUCCUACACCGUAAAAAUCAUAGAGCGAGCUGAGGAGACUAAAGGAGUAACUGUACAUUUCACCUUAUACCUGGAGACUCCCAAGCCCUAUAUCUCCAGCAGCAACUUAAACCCCAGGGAGGGCACGGAGACUGUGAUCUUAUCCUGUGAUCCUGACACUCAGGACGUAAGCUACCUGUGGUGGAUAAAUGGUCAGAGCCUCCCUAUCAGUCGCCCGUGGCAGCUGUGCGAAAACAACAGGAUCCUCAUGUUAUAUGGUGUCACAAAGGAUAUUGCAGGACCCUAUGAAUGUGAAAUGAAGAACCCAGUGAGUUCCAGCCGCAGUGACCCAGUCACCCUGAAUCUUCUCUAUGGUCCACAAGUCCCCAGGAUUUUCUCUCCAUUGACCUAUUACCGUUCAGGAAAAACCCUCCAGUUGUCCUGCUUCGCGGACUCUAACCCACCGGCAGAGUAUUCUUGGACGUUUAAUGGGAAGUUUCUGCAAUCAGGACAAAAGCUCUCUAUCCCCCAAGUUACUACAAAGCAUAGCGGGCUCUAUGGUUGCUCUGCUCGUAACUCAGCCACUGGCAGCGAACGUUCUACAUUCAAGAGGAUCACAGUCGUGAGUAAGUGGAUCCCUGCAUCAUUGUCAACAGGGUUUUAGGUGGAGUCUAUCUGGCUAUCAGAGAAGUCAGGAAAACAUUUUUAUUCCCAGCCUGUGCCCCAUGGGCAGAAGCAAAUCCUAAAUUCUCCUCCUGAACCCUCUCAAUUUGUCUCUACAGACUCUCUUCUCCUAGUUUUUCUGUUUUCUCAUGGUUGACCUUGUGUCCAGCCUGAGAAACGUAGGGAGGGGGCUUUGUCAUCCUUGA
Molecule: non-coding RNA, 1383 nt
Organism: Chlorocebus sabaeus (green monkey)
Lineage: Eukaryota; Metazoa; Chordata; Mammalia; Primates; Cercopithecidae
Source: RefSeq, a predicted model, not a curated record